AUGGCGACAAGAUCGCGCUGCUGCCGUGGGCUUCGCCGCCGGCGUCAGGCACCGACUGCGCGCUGUCCGGUGAGCCCACGGACCCCGGCGGCUGCACGGUGGUCGUUCUCGAGCGGUAUAGAUCGGGCUUGGAUGAAACGGCCAUGUGGUACUGCCACGCCGUCGCCGUGGGCCAGGUACGUGUACGACCUGGGCGGCGUGCGGACCCCGUGGGGCAAAUUCGCGAAGCGGUUCGUGUCUGGCCUCGCGGCGUGCGGCGGCAAGUUCUAUUGGUCGGUCAGGGCGGCUGAGUACGGCGUGCUCGAGUUCUCACCGGAGCCGACCUUGACAACCAUGAUGAUGAAGGAGGCGAUCGAGGUCAUCGUCCCGCCUGGGGAGGAGUACGCGCAGGCGUUCGCCUACUCGCUGGACCUUGAUGGCGAGGUGCAUAUGGUGUGGAUCUUCACCUCCGCCCAAACCGGAGCCAUAGUUGACAUCGCCGUCUACAUGGUGGAUCUCGAGGGCAAGAGGUUUAUCAGGGUGGACAGCAUCGGCGACCGGGCCAUCCUCGCCGGCGGCUUGAGCUAUGCUUUCGCAGGCUGGUGCCCGGCCAACGAGUUUGGGCUGCUGCCCAACAGCGUGUACUGGAUACACCCCUAUGAUGGCCGCAUGUGCGUGUACGAAGUUGGAUUCAAUACGGAAGAAGUACGCGAGCUCGGUGAGGUUGCCCGGGAGUCACCGCCGUUCUGGAUAGUUCCCGCACACCCAUGA
Molecule: ribosomal RNA, 750 nt
Filed under: Triticum aestivum (bread wheat)
Lineage: Eukaryota; Viridiplantae; Streptophyta; Magnoliopsida; Poales; Poaceae
Description: partial small subunit ribosomal RNA
Source: RNAcentral